This 433-nucleotide ribosomal RNA is filed under the name uncultured bacterium. RNAcentral's name for it is "partial 16S ribosomal RNA". It matches the Rfam family "Bacterial small subunit ribosomal RNA", at positions 30 to 507 of the family's 1533-position model. The record is from RNAcentral.
AGCGAACGCUGGCGGCAGGCUUAACACAUGCAAGUCGAGCGGCCACUUCGGAGUCAGCGGCUGACGGGUGAGUAACACGUGGGAACGUACCCUUUGGUUCGGAAUACCGCUGGGAAACGAGCGCUAAUAUCGGAUACGCCCUUUUGGGGAAAGGCUGGCUGCCCAAGGAUCGGCCCGCGUCUGAUUAGCUUGUUGGUGGGGUAAUGGCCUACCACGGCGUCGAUCAGUAGCUGGUCUGAGAGGAAGGUCAGCGACACUGGGGCGGAGACCCGGCCGAGACUCCUACGGGAGGGGGGAGUGGGGAAUAUAGGACAAUGGGGGCAGGGAUGAAGCAGUCAGGCCGGGAAAGUGAUGAAGGCCGUAGGGUAGUAAAGCUCUUUUGUCCGGGACGGUAAUGACGGUACCGGAAGAAUAAGCCCCGGCUAACUUCGUG